GGAAUAUUGCACAAUGGGCGCAAGCCUGAUGCAGCGACGCCGCGUGGGUGAAGACGGAUUUCGGUCUGUAAAGCCCUUUUCUGUGUGACGAGAGUGGACGGUAGCACAGGAAUAAGUCUCGGCUAACUACGUUCCAGCAGCCGCGGUAAAACGUAGGAGGCAAGCGUUAUCCGGAGUUACUGGGCGUAAAGCGCGUGCAGGUGGUCGAGUAAGGUGGUUAUGAAAGCUCCUGGCUAAACUGGGAGAGGUUGACCAAAACUGUUCGACUAGAGUGGAUGAGAGGUAAACGGAAUUCCUUGUGUAGUGGUGAAAUGCGUAGAUAUGAGGAAGAACACCAGUGGCGAAGGCGGUUUACUGGCAUCCAACUGACACUCAGACGCGAAAGCAUGGGUAGCG
Molecule: ribosomal RNA, 396 nt
Filed under: uncultured bacterium
Lineage: Bacteria
Description: bacterial SSU rRNA
Rfam family: Bacterial small subunit ribosomal RNA
Source: RNAcentral